CAAUAGCGUAUAUUAAAGUUGUUGCAGUUAAAAAGCUCGUAGUUGAACUUCUGUAUACUCUCAGUUGUGGCUGCGGUCAGGCUGUCGAGUGUGCAUCCGCUUGCAAACUCUUGUCGGCCUUAACUGGUUGCUUGAGGGAGUAAGCCUUUUACUUUGAAAAAAUUAGAGUGUUUCAGGCAGGCUUUGGCUCGAAUAUAUUAGCAUGGAAUAAUGGAAUAGGACUUUUGUCCAUUUUGUUGGUUAUUGGACUAGAGUAAUGAUUAACAGGGACAGUUGGGGGCAUUAGUAUUUAAUUGUCAGAGGUGAAAUUCUUGGAUUUAUUAAAGACUAACUUAUGCGAAAGCAUUUGCCAAGGAUGUUUUCAUUAA
RNAcentral lists this ribosomal RNA (368 nucleotides) under uncultured eukaryote. Its description in RNAcentral is "partial 18S ribosomal RNA". It matches the Rfam family "Eukaryotic small subunit ribosomal RNA", at positions 592 to 976 of the family's 1831-position model. The record is from RNAcentral.